RNAcentral lists this ribosomal RNA (252 nucleotides) under uncultured bacterium. RNAcentral's name for it is "partial 16S ribosomal RNA". It matches the Rfam family "Bacterial small subunit ribosomal RNA", at positions 524 to 776 of the family's 1533-position model. The record is from RNAcentral.
UACGUAGGAGGCAAGCGUUGUCCGGAAUUACUGGGCGUAAAGCGCGUGUAGGUGGUGGGACAAGUCUGCUGUGAAAGCGCCUGGCUUAACCGGGCGAGGUCGGCGGAAACUGUCCGACUAGAGGACGGUAGAGGGGGGUGGAAUUCCCGGUGUAGUGGUGAAAUGCGUAGAGAUCGGGAGGAACACCUGUGGCGAAGGCGGCCCCCUGGGCCGGCCCUGACACUGAGACGCGAAGGCGUGGGAGCGAACGGG